ACGUAUCAGAAGUGCGAAUGCUGACAUGAGUAACGAUAAUGGGGGUGAAAAACCCCCACGCCGGAAGACCAAGGGUUCCUGCGCAACGCUAAUCGGCGCAGGGUGAGUCGGCCCCUAAGGCGAGGCAGAAAUGCGUAGCUGAUGGGAAACAGGUUAAUAUUCCUGUACUUCUUAUAACUGCGAUGGAGAGACGGAGAAGGCUAUGCCUACCGGGCGUUGGUUGUCCCGGGGAAAGGCUGUAGGCUGAGGUGUUAGGCAAAUCCGGCACCUUAAGGCUGAGAGUCGAGACCACUGGUCCUUUGUGACCGGGAAGUGGUUGAUGCCAUGCUUCCAGGAAAAUCUUCUAAGCUUCAGGUUAUAAGGAACCGUA
Molecule: ribosomal RNA, 370 nt
Filed under: Pseudo-nitzschia fraudulenta
Lineage: Eukaryota; Bacillariophyta; Bacillariophyceae; Bacillariales; Bacillariaceae
Description: partial Bacterial large subunit ribosomal RNA
Rfam family: Bacterial large subunit ribosomal RNA
Source: RNAcentral